This 70-nucleotide transfer RNA is filed under the name Dipodomys ordii (Ord's kangaroo rat). It matches the Rfam family "tRNA". Rfam says of the family: Transfer RNA (tRNA) molecules are approximately 80 nucleotides in length. Their secondary structure includes four short double-helical elements and three loops (D, anti-codon, and T loops). The record is from Rfam by way of RNAcentral. Lineage: Eukaryota; Metazoa; Chordata; Mammalia; Rodentia; Heteromyidae.
GGGAAUGUGGCUUAGUGGUAGAGUGCUUGCAUAGCAUGCAUGAAGCCCUGGGUUCAAUUCCUCAGUACCA